UACGAACUGUGCGAACGUUAUUCGGAAUCACUGGGCUUAAAGGGUGCGUAGGCGGUUUGUUAAGUCAGGUGUGAAAUCCCCCGGCUCAACCGGGGAACAGCGCUUGAAACUAGCAGACUGGAGUGAGGCAGGGGUGUGCGGAACUUCCAGUGGAGCGGUGAAAUGUGUAGAUAUUGGAAGGAACGCCGGCGGCGAAAGCGGCACACUGGGCCUUGUCUGACGCUGAGGAACGAAAGCCAGGGGAGUGAACGGG
This 253-nucleotide ribosomal RNA is filed under the name uncultured bacterium. RNAcentral describes it as "partial 16S ribosomal RNA". It matches the Rfam family "Bacterial small subunit ribosomal RNA", at positions 524 to 776 of the family's 1533-position model. The record is from RNAcentral.